AUACGUAGGUGGCGAGCGUUGUCCGGAAUGAUUGGGCGUAAAGGGCGCGUAGGCGGCCCGGUAAGUCUGGAGUGAAAGUCCUGUUUUUAAGAUGGGAAUUGCUUUGGAUACUGUCGGGCUUGAGUGCAGGAGAGGUAAGUGGAAUUCCCAGUGUAGCGGUGAAAUGCGUAGAGAUUGGGAGGAACACCAGUGGCGAAGGCGACUUACUGGACUGUAACUGACGCUGAGGCGCGAAAGUGUGGGGAGCAAACAGGAUUAGAUACCCUGGUAGUCCACACUGUAAACGAUGAAUGCUAGGUGUAGGGGGUAUCGACCCCUUCUGUGCCGCAGUCAACACAAUAAGCAUUCCGCCUGGGGAGUACGGCCGCAAGGUUGAAACUCAAAUGAAUUGGCGGGG
RNAcentral lists this ribosomal RNA (397 nucleotides) under uncultured bacterium. RNAcentral describes it as "partial 16S ribosomal RNA". It matches the Rfam family "Bacterial small subunit ribosomal RNA", at positions 523 to 918 of the family's 1533-position model. The record is from RNAcentral.